RNAcentral lists this ribosomal RNA (253 nucleotides) under uncultured bacterium. RNAcentral describes it as "partial 16S ribosomal RNA". It matches the Rfam family "Bacterial small subunit ribosomal RNA", at positions 524 to 776 of the family's 1533-position model. The record is from RNAcentral.
UACGUAGGGGGCAAGCGUUGUCCGGAUUUAUUGGGCGUAAAGAGCGUGUAGGCGGCUUUACAGGUCCGUUGUGAAAACUCGAGGCUCAACCUCGAGACGCCGGUGGAAACCGUAAAGCUAGAGUCCGGAAGAGGAGAGUGGAAUUCCUGGUGUAGCGGUGAAAUGCGCAGAUAUCAGGAAGAACACCCGUGGCGAAGGCGGCUCUCUGGGACGGUACUGACGCUGAGGCGCGAAAGCGUGGGGAGCAAACAGG